This 378-nucleotide ribosomal RNA is filed under the name Lysobacterales bacterium. RNAcentral's name for it is "bacterial SSU rRNA". It matches the Rfam family "Bacterial small subunit ribosomal RNA", at positions 1 to 373 of the family's 1533-position model. Lineage: Bacteria; Pseudomonadati; Pseudomonadota; Gammaproteobacteria; Lysobacterales. The record is from RNAcentral.
AAACUGAAGAGUUUGAUCCUGGCUCAGAUUGAACGCUGGCGGUAUGCUUAACACAUGCAAGUCGAACGGUAGCAGAAGAAAGCUUGCUUUCUUGCUGACGAGUGGCGGACGGGUGAGUAACGCGUGGGAAUCUACCUUAUAGCGGGGGAUAGCCCGGAGAAAUUCGGAUUAAUACCGCAUAUACCCUACGGGGAAAAGGGGCCCUCUUCUUGAAAGGUCUCGCUAUAAGAUGAGCCCGCGUUAGAUUAGCUGGUUGGUGAGGUAAGGGCUCACCAAGGCGACGAUCUAUAGCUGGUCUGAGAAAAUGAUAAACCACAUUGUGAUUGAGACACGUUCUAAUCUCUUGCUUGAGGUAGCAGUGUUGAAUAUUUGAUAAUG